Molecule: long non-coding RNA, 446 nt
Organism: Chiroxiphia lanceolata (lance-tailed manakin)
Lineage: Eukaryota; Metazoa; Chordata; Aves; Passeriformes; Pipridae
Exons: 2
Source: RefSeq, a predicted model, not a curated record
CAGGUCAUCUUCUUGAAGAAAAGCUGUCAUGCUGGUGCUUGGGAUCUGCAAACACCUGGACGCUCUCAUUUAAAUGGCACACGGAUGUGCAGACAUAGACCAUAUCAUAAGGGCUGAGCACCCCAAUUCGGCAUCCAGCACCUUGAACAACCCAGAGCCCAGGCUGGAAAGGCAAUGGCUGAAGGUGGAACAGACAAGCAGAGACACUUGGCCACAUUCUCCCUCCUGACACAUCAUUCAACGGAAACUUUUUCAGAAACAACCACAACAAAAAUCAGUGGCUGAAACCUCACUGCCUGUGGCUGGACCACGGUGAGAUUUCAUACCCCAAGCAAGGUUGCGACCAGUAUUUAGUGAAGUUGGGUCACCUCCAAGAAAGCACAGAUCCAAGAAUUAUGUUGAACUUCCGGCUAGACAAAACUAAAGUUGCACUUUUUCUCCCCAAA